This 301-nucleotide ribosomal RNA is filed under the name uncultured bacterium. Its description in RNAcentral is "partial 16S ribosomal RNA". It matches the Rfam family "Bacterial small subunit ribosomal RNA", at positions 509 to 807 of the family's 1533-position model. The record is from RNAcentral.
CAGCAGCCGCGGUAAUACGAAGGGGGCUAGCGUUGUUCGGAAUUACUGGGCGUAAAGCGCACGUAGGCGGAUAUUUAAGUCAGGGGUGAAAUCCCAGAGCUCAACUCUGGAACUGCCUUUGAUACUGGGUAUCUUGAGUAUGGAAGAGGUGAGUGGAAUUCCGAGUGUAGAGGUGAAAUUCGUAGAUAUUCGGAGGAACACCAGUGGCGAAGGCGGCUCACUGGUCCAUUACUGACGCUGAGGUGCGAAAGCGUGGGGAGCAAACAGGAUUAGAUACCCGCGUAGUCCCUGUCUCUUAUAC